GUGGGCGACGUGCCCGCUUCCAAAAUGGCGGCGGCAGCGGUGUCUGGUGCGCUUGGCCGGGCGGGCUGGAGGCUCCUGCAGCUGCGAUGCCUGCCCGUGGCCCGUUGCCGACAAGCCCUGGUGCCACGUGCCUUCCAUGCUUCAGCUGUGGGGCUAAGGUCUUCAGAUGAGCAGAAGCAGCAGCCUCCCAACUCAUUUUCUCAGCAGCAUUCUGAGACACGGGGGGCAGAAAAACCUGAUCCAGAGUCUUCUCAUUCACCCCCCAGGUAUACAGACCAGGGCGGCGAGGAGGAGGAGGACUAUGAAAGCGAGGAGCAGCUGCAGCACCGCAUCCUGACGGCAGCCCUAGAGUUUGUGCCCGCCCACGGGUGGACAGCAGAGGCGAUUGCAGAAGGAGCCCAGUCUCUGGGUCUCUCCAGUGCAGCAGCCAGCAUGUUUGGGAAGGAUGGCAGUGAGCUAAUACUGCAUUUUGUGACCCAGUGCAAUACCCGGCUCACACAUGUGCUAGAAGAGGAGCAGAAGCUGGUACAGUUGGGCCAGGCGGAGUAAGUCCCAUGGCAUUACUACUCAGGGUGGCAGCUAAGGAUCAGGGAACUUGGGCCCUACCAGCUAUCCCCAGGAGGCCAAUCCAAGCAGAACCCAAAGAGAGCAGCAUUGGGCAGCCCUGCUGCUGUGAUGGGACUGAAACCUGGCAGCCUGUCUCUGACAGCUUUAGUCAGGCCAGCGUCAGGUGCUGGUGGGACCCUCCUCCCUAGGGCUGAGUAAACCGUGGAGCACUGAGCCCCUGCCUUUCACUCAGAGACACACUGUUUUCUUUUCCCUCUUCCAGGAAGAGGAAGACAGACCAGUUCCUGAGGGAUGCAGUGGAAACCAGACUGAGAAUGCUGAUCCCGUACAUUGAGCACUGGCCCCGGGUACUGAGUCCAUAUCCAGGCCCCAGAGCAACAAUAAUCCUAAUAUUUAUCAUUCUCAGCACCUUCACUCAGAUGACUUUGUACACUGUUCAGAACUUAGUUCCUCAAUCUCUAUAAACCCGAG
Molecule: small RNA, 1038 nt
Filed under: Pongo abelii (Sumatran orangutan)
Lineage: Eukaryota; Metazoa; Chordata; Mammalia; Primates; Hominidae
Description: retained intron
Source: RNAcentral